UACAGAGGUCCCAAGCGUUGUUCGGAUUCACUGGGCGUAAAGGGUGCGUAGGUGGCGUGGUAAGUUUGAUGUGAAAGCUCAGGGCUUAACCCUAAAAUGGCAUUGAAUACUACUGUGCUGGAGGUUUGGAGGGGGGACUGGAAUUCUUGGUGUAGCAGUGAAAUGCGUAGAUAUCAAGAGGAACACCAGUGGCGAAGGCGAGUCCCUGGACAACACCUGACACUGAGGCACGAAAGCUAGGGGAGCAAACAGG
This 253-nucleotide ribosomal RNA is filed under the name uncultured bacterium. RNAcentral's name for it is "partial 16S ribosomal RNA". It matches the Rfam family "Bacterial small subunit ribosomal RNA", at positions 524 to 776 of the family's 1533-position model. The record is from RNAcentral.